GGCGGGCAUGACCUUCUUUCUGAGGUCGGGCUUCCCCUUCUUGACGGUGGCCAUGACCAUGUCGCCGACGCAAGCGGACGGGAGGCGGUUGAGGCGCCCCUUGAUGCCCUUGACGGAGAUGAUGUAGAGGUUCUUGGCGCCCGUGUUGUCGGCGCAGUUCACCGUCGCCGCCACUGGCAGACCCAGCGACAUGCGGAACUUGUUCCCCGCCGUGCCUCCCCUCCCUGGAUCACAUCACGAAACAACGCAAGCACUAGAUUAGAACGCGAUGCAAAACAAGAUUGACAAUCGACGGGGAAAAGAGGAAAUCGAGCCGAGUUGGGAGGAGGAAGACGGG
RNAcentral lists this long non-coding RNA (337 nucleotides) under Setaria viridis. RNAcentral's name for it is "long non-coding RNA (SVIR_LNC011458)". Lineage: Eukaryota; Viridiplantae; Streptophyta; Magnoliopsida; Poales; Poaceae. The record is from RNAcentral.